RNAcentral lists this ribosomal RNA (449 nucleotides) under uncultured bacterium. Its description in RNAcentral is "partial 16S ribosomal RNA". It matches the Rfam family "Bacterial small subunit ribosomal RNA", at positions 338 to 795 of the family's 1533-position model. The record is from RNAcentral.
CCUACGGGGGGCUGCAGUGGGGAAUAUUGGACAAUGGGCGCAAGCCUGAUCCAGCAAUACCGCGUGUGUGAAGAAGGCCUUAGGGUUGUAAAGCACUUUCAAUGGGGAGGAAAACCUACCGGUCAAUACCCGGUAGCUUGACAUUACCUGUAGAAGAAGCACCGGCUAACUCCGUGCCAGCAGCCGCGGUAAUACGGAGGGUGCAAGCGUUAAGCGGAGCGAGUGGAGGUAAUGCGUUCGGUGGCGGGUGAAAGCCCCGGGCUUAACCUGGGAACUGCAUUUGAAACUGGCGGACUAGAGUUGAGUAGAGGGGAGUGGAAUUUCAGGUGUAGCGGUGAAAUGCGUAGAUAUCUGAAGGAACACCAGUGGCGAAGGCGACUCCCUGGACUCAAACUGACGCUGAGGUACGAAAGCGUGGGUAGCAAACAGGAUUAGAUACCCGUGUAGUC